UGUAAGCGUAUACCAAAGUUGUUGCAGUUAAAACGCUCGUAGUCGGAAUUUGGCAGUUCCGGAUGUGUGCACGUCGUGUGCGCACUUCGCGGGGAUUGCUUUUGUGGUCUUGCGUAGGAUGAGGCACUUUUAUUAGUGAACGUCCUCACGCAACCACUUUUUACUGUGAGAAAAUCAGAGUGCUCAAAGCAGGCAUUUGCCGUGAAUGUGUUAGCAUGGAAUAAUAGAAUAGGACUUGGUUCUAUUUUGUUGGUUUGUUGGGACUGAGUAAUGAUUAAGAGGGACAGUUGGGGGCAUUUGUAUUUCGGUGCUAGAGGUGAAAUUCUUAGAUUACCGAAAGACAAACUGCUGCGAAAGCGUCUGCCAAGGAUGUUUUCAUUGA
RNAcentral lists this ribosomal RNA (382 nucleotides) under uncultured eukaryote. RNAcentral's name for it is "partial 18S ribosomal RNA". It matches the Rfam family "Eukaryotic small subunit ribosomal RNA", at positions 592 to 976 of the family's 1831-position model. The record is from RNAcentral.